GAUGAACGCUGGCGGCGUGCCUAAUACAUGCAAGUCGAGCGAACGGACGAGAAGCUUGCUUUUCUGAUGUUAGCGGCGGACGGGUGAGUAACACGUGGAUAACCUACCUAUAAGACUGGGAUAACUUCGGGAAACCGGAGCUAAUACCGGAUAAUAUUUUGAACCGCAUGGUUCAAAAGUGAAAGACGGUCUUGCUGUCACUUAUAGAUGGAUCCGCGCUGCAUUAGCUAGUCGGUAAGGUAACGGCUUACCAAGGCAACGAUGCAUAGCCGACCUGAGAGGGUGAGCGGCCACACGGGAACUGAGACACGGUCAAGACUCCUACGGGAGGCAGCAGUAGGGAAUCUUCCGCAAUGGGCGAAAGCCUGACGGAGCAACGCCGCGUGAGUGAUGAAGGUCUUCGGAUCGUAAAACUCUGUUAUUAGGGAAGAACAUAUGUGUAAGUAACUGUGCACAUCUUGACGGUACCUAAUCAGAAAGCCACGGCUAACUACGUG
This 497-nucleotide ribosomal RNA is filed under the name uncultured bacterium. RNAcentral describes it as "partial 16S ribosomal RNA". It matches the Rfam family "Bacterial small subunit ribosomal RNA", at positions 28 to 507 of the family's 1533-position model. The record is from RNAcentral.